This 318-nucleotide ribosomal RNA is filed under the name Triticum aestivum (bread wheat). RNAcentral's name for it is "partial small subunit ribosomal RNA". Lineage: Eukaryota; Viridiplantae; Streptophyta; Magnoliopsida; Poales; Poaceae. The record is from RNAcentral.
AUGACACAUGCAUAUAUGCUUGCUAAGCAUUUUCUUUUGUUUUUCAUGUGGGUCACCAUCCCUCUAUCUCUCUCACCCCCUCUCCUUUUCAACCUGAUGUUUCCUGAAACCUGCCGCCUGCUAAGGGCCCCGUACUGUGAUCGAGUAGGGUUUCUGGAAGACAAGAAGAAAGAAAACAUAGAAAAAAGGGUACUCUGGGGAUGGAAGGAAGAUUGCCCGGGAAACAAGGGAUCUUCCACUUCCUCUUCCUUUUCCUUUUCCUUCAAAGGGUCAAUUCAAGCUUGUCACUUGGUCCAGGGUAGCCUAGUAGGCUGGUAG